Molecule: non-coding RNA, 102 nt
Filed under: Jeotgalibacillus campisalis
Lineage: Bacteria; Bacillati; Bacillota; Bacilli; Caryophanales; Caryophanaceae
Description: SAM-I sequence
Rfam family: SAM riboswitch aptamer (S box leader)
About the family: The SAM riboswitch is found upstream of a number of genes which code for proteins involved in methionine or cysteine biosynthesis in Gram-positive bacteria. The SAM riboswitch acts at the level of transcription termination control.
Source: Rfam by way of RNAcentral
UUCUUAUCACGAGAGGUGGAGGGACUGGCCCUUUGAUACCUCGGCAGCGGACUAUUUUAGCACCGUGCCAACUCCAGCAGACAGCAGUCUGAGAGAUGAGAA